GAUCAUGGCUCAGAUUGAACGCUGGCGGCAGGCUUAACANAUGCAAGUCGAACGGUAACAUAAAGAAGCUUGCUUCUUUGAUGACGAGUGGCGGACGGGUGAGUAAUGCUUGGGAAUCUAGCUUAUGGAGGGGGAUAACUACGGGAAACUGUAGCUAAUACCGCGUAAUAUCGAAAGAUUAAAGUGUGGGACCUUCGGGCCGCAUGCCAUAGGAUGAGCCCAAGUGGGAUUAGGUAGUUGGUG
RNAcentral lists this ribosomal RNA (243 nucleotides) under uncultured bacterium. Its description in RNAcentral is "partial 16S ribosomal RNA". It matches the Rfam family "Bacterial small subunit ribosomal RNA", at positions 15 to 254 of the family's 1533-position model. The record is from RNAcentral.